GAAUCUGCCAGCACCAUCUGGUAAGGCUAAAUACUCCUGAGAGACCGAUAGUGAACAAGUACCGUGAGGGAAAGGUGAAAAGUACUUCGAACAGAAGAGUGAAAUAGACCCUGAAACCAUACGCUUACAAGCGGUCGGAGGUUAAAUCCUGAUUUAUCAGGACAUGACUGACGGCGUGCCUUUUGCAUAAUGAGCCUACGAGUUACUCCUCUCUAGCAAGGUUAAUCCCGGUUACGGGAGCAGCCGAAGCGAAAGCAAGUCUGAAUAGGGCGUUUUAGUUAGAGGGGGUAGACGCGAAACUUUGUGAUCUACCCAUGGCCAGGUUGAAGCUUCGGUAAAACGCAGUGGAGGACCGAACCAGUACACGUUGAAAAGUGUUUGGAUGAGCUGUGGGUAGGGGUGAAAGGCUAAUCAAACUAAGAGAUAGCUCGUACUCUCCGAAAUGCUUUUAGGAGCAGCCUCGAGUAUAAGUGUCAUAGAGGUAGAGCUACUGAUUGGGCUAGGGGGCUUCACCGCCUACCAAACCCUGACAAACUCCGAAUGCUAUGACAUGUUCCUCAGCAGUGAGGGCGCGGGUGCUAAGGUCCGUGUCCGAGAGGGAAAGAACCCAGACUACCAGCUAAGGUCCCAAAAUAUAUGUUAAGUUGAACUAACGAGGUCUGAUUGCAGAGACAGCUAGGAUGUUGGCUUGGAAGCAGCCACUCAUUUAAAGAGUGCGUAACAGCUCACUAGUCGAGCGAUUGGGCAUGGAUGAUAAUCGGGCAUAAAACAUAUUACCGAAGCUGUAGAAUUAUUUAUAAUUGGUAGGGGAGCAUUCCUAUCAGCGCUGAAGGUGAAUCGUAAGGUUUGCUGGAGCGUUAGGAAAAGAAAAUGUAGGCAUAAGUAACGAUAAUGCGGGUGAGAAACCCGCACACCGGAAGACUAAGGUUUCCUGAUCAACGCUAAUCGGAUCAGGGUUAGUCGGGUCCUAAGGCGAACCCGAAAGGGGUAGUCGAUGGAUAACUGGUUAAUAUUCCAGUACCAGCUUAUACUGCGAUGGGGUGACGGAGAAGUGAAAGACCCGCGUGCUGACGGAAUAGCACGUUGAACACUGUAGGUAUAUGAUAAGUAGGCAAAUCCGCUUAUCAUGCUGAAGGUGGAUAGUACCACAAGGUUUCGGCUGCGUGGAUAGUGGUCCUAAUCCUGCUUCCAAGAAAACCCCCUAAGCGUCAGGUAUAAGCUGCCCGUACCGUAAACCGACACAGGUAGUCGAGGAGAGAAUCCAAAGGUGCUCGAGUGAUUCAUAGCUAAGGAACUAGGCAAAAUUACCCCGUAACUUCGGGAGAAGGGGUGCCACCAGCAAUGGUGGCCGCAGUGAAAAGACCCAGGCGACUGUUUAUCAAAAACACAUGGCUUUGCUAAAUUUAAAGAUGACGUAUAAGGCCUGACACCUGCCCGGUGCCGGAAGGUUAAGAGGAGGGCUUAUUAGAGAGGCUUUGCCACUCUAAGAAGGUCUGAAUUGAAGCCCCGGUAAACGGCGGCCGUAACUAUAACGGUCCUAAGGUAGCGAAAUUCCUUGUCGGGUAAGUUCCGACCUGCACG
This 1581-nucleotide ribosomal RNA is filed under the name marine sediment metagenome. RNAcentral's name for it is "bacterial LSU rRNA". It matches the Rfam family "Bacterial large subunit ribosomal RNA", at positions 440 to 1994 of the family's 2925-position model. The record is from RNAcentral.